CCGGUAAUAAGUUUUCUAGGAGCACUUCCAAGUGAUUCUUCCGCAGUAACACUUAUUGAAGCCUUUGUGGCCCCGCAAGGGGUCUGCCCUCGCGACUCUAAAUAAUGGGGGCAGUGCCUGGAAUUUCCAGGUAUGCAAGUCAGCGUUAGCUGGCGACACCUUCGAAUUGCGGGGACACCCUAAAGCUUAUAUCUACCAAACUGACGAAGAAACUCGUUAGUGGCUCAUGCUAACAUCAUGAGGUACGGUAAAAAGGAUAUAAGAUACUUUUUAAAAAGUAAUGGGCAAUCCGCAGCCAACCCCUAACGCUAUCACCAAAUAUGCUGAGCUAUGGGAGAGGUUCACAGACUAAGUGGAGGUGGGCAGGAUACCUGCUUAAGAUAUAGUCGGGCCUUUGGGGAAACCUAAAGGGGCAAGUUACUGUAAAAACCGUUCCGUAGGUGAACCUGCGGAAGGAUCAUUAUCGAGUAUUGGGUCUUUUUAAGGCCCUACUCCCACCCUUUGUGUACCAAACUUUUUAUUCAGUUGCCUUGGCGGGUUCGCUCCUUAAUUGUUAGGAAGGACUCUUCCUUUCUCUUAAGGGCAAGCCGCCAGGGGGACUACCAUUAAACUCUUAUGAAUUGGGAUGUCUGAGUUAAAAUUUUAAUAAAUUAAAACUUUCAACAACGGAUCUCUUGGUUCUGGCAUCGAUGAAGAACGCAGCGAAAUGCGAUAAGUAAUGUGAAUUGCAGAAUUCAGUGAAUCAUCGAAUCUUUGAACGCACAUUGCGCCCUUUGGUAUUCCGAGGGGCAUGCCUGUUCGAGCGUCAUUUCAAACCCUCAAGCUCUAGCUUGGUAUUGGGCCUAUCGUCGUUAAAAGACGUGCCUGAAACUCGUUGGCAGUGGUGCCUAGCUCCUCAGCGUAGUCAUAUAUUUCGCUCUGGAGAUCUAGGUAUCAUUUCGCCAGAUAACCUCUUUUUUUUUUCUAUGGUUUGACCUCGGAUCAGGUAGGGAUACCCCGCUGAACUUAAGCAUCAUAUAAGAGGAGAGAGAA
Molecule: ribosomal RNA, 1032 nt
Filed under: Tubeufiaceae sp. MFLUCC10-0120
Lineage: Eukaryota; Fungi; Ascomycota; Dothideomycetes; Tubeufiales; Tubeufiaceae
Description: eukaryotic LSU rRNA
Rfam family: 5.8S ribosomal RNA (bases 655-808)
Source: RNAcentral